Molecule: long non-coding RNA, 4410 nt
Filed under: Triticum aestivum (bread wheat)
Lineage: Eukaryota; Viridiplantae; Streptophyta; Magnoliopsida; Poales; Poaceae
Description: long non-coding RNA (TAES_LNC023002)
Source: RNAcentral
UCAAAUGAAUUCACAAUUUAAUAUUUGUUCUUGAAGAAAAGCUAGGAAGCAACCAGAAAGUAGUGAGAUAAAAUAUAACACCAAAAAAUAAGUGCCAAUAAGUGUGAAGAUAAAAGAUCAUAGUAUUACCUGAUGUUUUUCUUUUUUCUAAAAUUACCACUAAGCUUAAAGAAAAGAUGACUUAAAGUUCUGAGUACAUUAGUCAGCAGGCCAUUACCGCUAGCUCAUAACAUGCUACUGAAUCUCAGGUCACAGCCAUUAAGACUGUACAGAUUAUAGAGUAAAGCAACACCUACAACACAUUGAUUCAAAUAAUUUCAUGUACAUCUUGUCCCAGAAGCUUGCACUGAGACCUUGAGGCUUCUUCAGUCAGGUUGCAUUUCAGACGCAAUCUGAAUUUUGUUUGGUUUUCAGCACAUGAACCAGUUGCAGCACCGGAACCGGGACAACAUGUGCUCGGUCUUCCGGAUGCGCUCCACCUGUCGCGCCAACCAGAGUGCCCGCCAGUUAUGCCUUGCCUCGACCCUCGCCUGCUUCCCCUCCACCUUGUGGCCCAAUGGGGACAGUCUCUUGGUCAUGUUGUUCUUCGCCCGAGCCCUCAUUUGACCGACCUGCACCUGACAUAUAUUUGCACAAUUACAGCUAGCUGAGAUUUAUUUCACAGUUUUGUUAAGAGUUCAGAAUUUAGAGCAGAGCUGGCUAAGGGAUGCGUGGCGGCUCGGGCCAGAGUGUCGCUCCUCGACUACUCCUGACUGUCGAUUGGCGUCAUCUCUGUGCCUACGCCCCUCAUCAACACAGAUGAUGACAACUGCGUUGCUGCUGGACCGCCUGCCUGGGUGCAGAGCAUAUAUGUCGAUUCGGUAGAAGUUUUUGCUCUGCCGGAGAUGGUCUACUUAGGAGGUUACAUUCUAUGCAUCAUUUCAGUUGAUUUUAAAUUUGCAGCGGCGUGUUUAAUUCAUGUUGGCUAGAGUUCAGAAGAUAUUAUUGCCGGCCAUCAGAAUUUUUCAAAAAUAACACCAAUAAGGUUUAGUACGGAGACUAUUUUUGAGUUAUUCACAGGAAAAAACAAAAAUGUGCCUUGUGCACUAAGUUCAUGUUGCAGGACAAUAAAUUGCCUUUAAUAAUAAGUUCACUGAAACUUCAAAGAAAUGUCAUAGAACUAUGGCAGUACUAUGACAUACUGAGUGCGUACUGACAAAUGAACUUUCACUAUUUUCAUCCCAUCAAAAGUUCAAAUAACCAGAUCAUGACAUGUAGGUCAGAGAUAGACAAGAAAUUCAAAUGAGUAACAAACCAAUAAACGAUUCAAAAAAUGUAGAAAGUGCCUUUAAAAUUUUGUUAUAACUUAUAAGCCUCUCUAACAAGUGGCACCUCCAUCAUGUGGGCCAAAGGAUGGAUUUCGUACAAUGACAAAUAACUUCAAUCUUCUCACAACUAAAAAACACAUGGAAAAUGAUAAUGAGAAGUACAAAUGAUAUUCACCUUAAUGUAUAUCAUAUUGAAGGAUUUUACUGUUCCGAUAAACGAUUGCAAUGUUCCCUCAACUUCAGCUCUGUCUCGGCAUAGUCUUCGUUCGGAUUAUAGUCAUACUGGGCAGUAGAGACUACCCUGUUAGUGCAGAUAGUAUACUGCAGUGUACUGUCAACAAACUAACUAAUAAGAUAUGCAUGGGAAUUUCAUAUAGAAGUGUAUAAAUUGAUUUUAAAUAUAUGACCAAAUCACAACUGUGUGAAUAAGGAAAUAAGAUCCAGUGUUGAAUUUAUACCUUUGAGGCUAGCUCCUGAACCAUCUGUUGCAGAUAUGACAUCUUUUUGGUAUACUCAGAGAGAUCUAAUUCUGCUAUACCAGGCCUGCAAAAUGAUAAUCAAACUGAGUGAAAUGGUGUUUUUUCUUGAAAUUUCUUGUCAACUAGGGGUCACAAGAUGGCAACAUAUAUCAUACCAUUUCUCAAUUAUAUGGUUGCUAGAAAUCUGUGCCUUCUAAAUAAUACAAUUGACAAAAACAUCAAAUUGGGUGCACUUAUAGGGGGGUAAAUUGAUUGUAUUUGGACACCUUCAGGAAAAUAUAAUGAGAAAAUAACUAACCAUUGGAUGAGAAAUUUUAAUUUGCUAAAUGUCUGAAAGAAAGGACAUGAAGCAAGUAUGCAUGGCCCAGUAAAACUACCUAAAUUAGCCUAACAGGAGAGAGAACUGGAAAAUGCUCAAUGUUAACUUGAACUGACUUACAUUUUACUCAAUGAAAGAUGACACAGAUUCAUAUAAGCUUCUAGUAAAUGCACACAGAAAAGGGGAUAAUCUGAAACUAAAAGUAAAACAUUACAUGCAAAUUGUACUUCCUGCAUAUAGGGGAAACCGUUCAAACAUCACAUUCGGCUGUUAUCGAAUAACUAUGUAAUAGGUAAACAAUAGUACAAACAGAGGAACAACAAACUUCAAUCCAACUUGUGAGAAGCAUGGGCUUGCAUCAACCAUCAUUGAGUCUUACCAAAGAAAAAAUCAAGCCGGGUUCAAACAAAAGCACAUGUCAAAACCUACAUAUAGUGGCAUUGAGAGAACAGAGGGGAAGCAAGAAGGAUUGGUAGAGAGAGAGAGGAAAUAACGAUAUGGAGAAUCUCAUCUUGGCGUCAUCCGCCACGCUCGACAUUGCUUACGCACAUGUCACUGCCCAGCCAUGCCCGUGGUCUUGACCGCUGCUCCCGCCGCUUGCGCCGGUUGCUGCGGCAUUUUCAUCGUGGCCACACGUCCUUCGAGCUGCCGCCCGUCAAGAUCCAGGGUGACGGAAACCUGGGCUUCCAAAUGCUAAAUGAGGAUUGCUCCUUCAGAUAUAGUCAGCAGAAGAAGUUGAAAAAACAUAUACCAAAUGAAUAAUGCAUGAGAUUCUCCAAGUAAAUAUGUUAUAACAUUACACCUUAUGACAAUACACUUAAAUAAUCAACAGCAACAUUACAUCUUAGGGCUGCUGUAGGCUGGACGCGAGGCAGCUGGGCCGAGGCGAAGGCUAACGGCCCAUGGGAUGAAGCGGACGUGGGAUGCAGGCGCGGCCUCGCUCGAUCCCGUGCACGUGGAGGCGGCUGGAGAUCGUUCGGGGCGGCGAUGCUAAGGGAUCUUGGCCGGUAACGAAGACCAAGACGGACCAGGACGUCGGUGGAGCAACGAGAAGCUGGGACGGCAGAUACGACGCGGGCUCCAUGGAUCCGUCUGUUCCCUACCGAAUCCGGUGGCAACAAUGGCGGUGCGGGGCAUCGGGGCACCGUGGCAGGGAAGACCUGCGCUCAAUGCACCCGGCCGCCGCUCCCAGGCUCACCGACAUCGGCCUCGUCAGUGCCUCCAAUGGCUUCCACGCCGCCGAGCUCGGGGCCAUCGCGGCCGCGUCCCCUACCCCUGAUGGCCAUGGCGUCCUGUAGUUUGGAAACAGAGAGAGAUUAGUGGGGAGAGGGGGAGAAAAUGAAGGAGGGUGUUGGGCGCGGUUGACCGGCUGAGGAGGUCGGCGGCGGCUUGCAGGAGUGCGAGCGACGACUGGAGGCAGGGUCGACUCGGGUGGAUCGGGGGGAAGUGCACAGAAGGAGGAGGAGCGAGGAGCGGCGGCGCCGUUUUUCUAGAUCUGGGAAGAGAAAGAAGGAUCGGGGAGGCACGAUUCAUUUGGAAUCGGCCCGAAAAUUAAGGAGCUGAUCGAGGAUGCGGUUGUUUCCGCUGUGCGGGCGUGCGAACGCCAGAGUUUUCGUCCGCCCCGAAACAUGUUCUCUUGUUUAAUAGUAGUGUAGAUGAAUAUUUUGAUGGAAUAUAAAAGCUUUUUAUACUUGUGCUUGCAAGAAUUAUGAUGCCUCCUGUGCGGCCGUUUAAUGUAUAUAUUUGUAUAUAACCUGAAAGAUGGCAGUCGUUGGCUUCAGCCCCCACGCAUAGAAUGCGGGGGUGUUUGCAAAAAGGCGCCCUUUCACACUUAAUCCAACGUAUUGGUCCUAUAAAGGAGGUGGUGGCGCGGCGAACUAGGCAACCGGACUAUAAUGCUUUAUCACUUUCACUUAGCCAUAGGAGUUUGACAGUGGGGCUACUGAAUAGCCCCUAGGGGCACCGCACUCACCCGGAUUCGGGGCGCGAGCGUGCCUGACCGGGAAGCGGCCCUUCGUUAAUGCGGAGGAAUCCUAAAGAUUCCGAAAGUCAUCGAGUGGUUGACCAGUCUCUCGCUAUAUCAUGACAGUCAGUUUUCGGCUUUCUCUACUGAGGUGCUCGCCUGGCCGAACCAGGGCACAAUCGCAGUAGUUCUCCUGGUGCCGCGUUAGCCGAUAUAACGGAACAUAAGGCAGCAAAACACAGGAGCCAGGCAAACCCAACAUUUGACCAAAGACAUGAUUCGGAGCUGAUGCAUAUAGGGCCAAACUCGCGACGCCGAACACUCCCUAAGGUAUUCGGUCUU